AGUGAACGCUGGCGGCGUGCUUAACACAUGCAAGUCGAACGAGAACGGAUUAUAGCUUGCUAUAAUUGUCAGCUAAGUGGCGCACGGGUGAGUAAUGUAUAGGUAAUAUGCCUCUUACUAAGGGAUAACAAAUGGAAACGUUUGCUAAUACCUUAUACUCCUUAUUAACAUAAGUUAAUAAGGGAAAGAUUUAUUGGUAAGAGAUUAGCCUGUAUUGUAUCAGUUAGUUGGUGGGGUAAUGGCUUACCAAGACUAUGACACAUAACUGGUUUGAGAGGAUGAUCAGUCACACUGGAACUGAGACACGGUCCAGACUCCUACGGGAGGCAGCAGUGGGGAAUAUUGCACAAUGGACGAAAGUCUGAUGCAGCAACGCCGCGUGGAGGAUGACACAUUUCGGUGCGUAAACUCCUUUUAUAUGAGAAGAUAAUGACGGUAUUAUAUGAAUAAGCACCGGCUAACUCCGUGCCAGCAGCCGCAGUAA
RNAcentral lists this ribosomal RNA (484 nucleotides) under uncultured bacterium. RNAcentral's name for it is "partial 16S ribosomal RNA". It matches the Rfam family "Bacterial small subunit ribosomal RNA", at positions 29 to 523 of the family's 1533-position model. The record is from RNAcentral.